GCUUUACUGGUCCAAAAUCCUUUUCUGGAAAAUUGGAUUCCCAACUAUCUGAGGAACUUCAUUUACAUAGAAAAAAUCAAUUGUUCAAUUUCCACAGAAUUUUCUUAUUUUUCCUCUUUCCUCAUGGAUGCUAUAUUUAUUCAUUCAGGGUUAUAUGGAAUAAUGAACCUCCAAUGGCUGGAGGAAUUAUGACUGUUGUCCAUCGGGAACAGAGGAGAAAGUAGGAUAAUGUUGUUAUAGAGCCAGAAAGUCACAGGAGAAGGAGGUGCAGGUGGUUGAAGGGGUCAACGAAAUGAUUGACUGUGACACGGGAGCUGUUCAUUUCCCAUUUCUUACAGUGAACUUUUUUUUUCAAGCCAUGAUUGUGCAAUAACCAUAACCAAGUAGUUCUUUUAACCCAAACCAUGAUCUUUCUCUAACCUUAACCAAAGUCAUUUUUGUGCCCAAACUUAACAGUGUAUUUUUGUAAGAUCAGAAAAAAACUUUGCAACUUUGAUGUUGUAACAGUUUUUGAAGGCACUGAUAGAAUAAUGUUGUCCUGCUGUGGUCGUGUCAGACCAGAAAACAGAUGUGUGUCUUUCUGGAGGGCAAUUACAAACAACAUAUUUUGUCGUUUAAUUUAAAGGACUUGUUUCUUGACACUUAGGGUUUUAACCUUAAAACCAGCUAUUUAACAUUUUCACAAGAACCUACAGCAAUUUAACAGUUAAAUUAUAGAUUGGAAUUCUUAUUUUAGAAAUAUAAACUAUAAACAUAUGCUGUCAUUGUAUGGUUGAACACAAGAAAAUGUGGUUGUUUAUGCAUACAAACAAGAAGUUUAUCUGACAUUUAAUUGGAAUUUUUUGAGACAAAUGUCUUUAUCUUGUGGAUAUCCAGGAAAGAGCUAAACUGCAGCUUACUCAUAGGUUAAGCUUAACUUUAAACUGCACACAGAUGCCUAAGAAUAUAUCCUGACUUUCAUCCUAAUAUGUAGGUAGGAAAAAAGACUGAAAUUACACAAUAUCACAAACCCAACCUAUCCAUUUCCAGUGACAAUGUGCAGCUGUUUCCCUUGAAGCAGGGAAGUGUAUUAUAAGACCUGCCUUCCUUCCUCCUCCUCAUGUGAAGGAGGAGACGUGGCCAUGACAAAAAAAAGACAGAUCUGCCGUUGGUCAAUGCAGCUUUCUCUUAAAUUUACAUUUUUGUGGGAGAAGUGAGCAGGCGAAAUAAUAGAAAGACAUAAACUGACUCAUGUUGAAAUCAACACGUUGUGGAGCAAAGUAACCCAAUGGUCAGGUUUUUUUUUUUCUCAUUUUAUUUUACAAAGCAGUCACCACAGAAAGUAUGAUGUUUUUUGGUAAAUGAGUGCAUUUUAACCUAAAAGCCUUCUCUAGUGUAUCAUAUAAUUUUCAAGCCUUUAAUUUCAGCUGUGACAAAAUAACAGGUGCACCUCACAAAUUAUUGAAAAGGCUUUCAGAGCAGUUGACCCAACCAGCUACUCCAUAGAGACAGAGCAUCAUAAAACUGUCACAGCAGUGUGAUCACCUCCCUUCUUUUCCUAUCCCCUGUAUACUUAUCAAAGACAAUAAAAUUGAAAUGAAAUUUAGUAGCUAUAGCCGCAUGAAGAUACCAGAUAGAUUAACACACCCAAGACACAAGAAAGAUAAGUUCCUCGUCAGUUAUGUAGAUAGUAAAAUAACUAAAUCAGGUCAUCUGGGCAGUAUGCAAAACUGACAGAACAGGUUUACUGGACAACUGACGCGUGUUUUACAGAUGACAGAGUGUGAAAGGAGAAGUAUUUGCAUGAUGUCAUCUUUCCUCAGACCUUAUCUUUUAAAGAUCAUCAGUCAAUGCACAUGGUGGCAUGACUUGUGAUGUCGUCCUCCCCUCCAGCAGCAGAUCAUCAACAGGUAAAUUCAGAUUCGUGGCUCAGUGGAGACAUUCCUCUCCUCUGUAACAGUACCUUAUUAAACUUCAGCACAAAUAAGACCAUCAUUUUCAAUGUUAAUUAACACAAUAAAAACUACAUAAUAAGACCUUUAGAUUUUGUCCAAGUUUCCCUAUUUGGUGCUCUUACCUAAGUUGUAACUGCUCACGGGAACUACGUCGUCCCUCCAAAGCUGUUUCCCAAACCAGAGGACACCUACUUCAGAGUCCAUUUUUCCAAGACCAAAAACAGAACAGUAUAGCAGGUUGAAAAGACCUGUCUUAAUCCUCUAAAAGUAUCCUCUAAACAUGAUGGCACAUAUCCAGUGGAUCCUGAACAGCCCUCAAUAUUUCAAAAGCCAGUCACUUCAAUGUCGUGCAGUCCUCGACAACUUGUAAAAUGAGGAAAUGUUGCAACCAUGUUUUUCUUUAUGGGGACAUAGCAUGCUUUUUGCGAUUUUCUGUCAUUUAUAUACUGUUAAAAUGUCGGAUGUCUAUGCUAAAAAUAGUCAAAGUUCCAAAACUUGAGGUGAACUUAUGUGUGAACUUAAUGAAUUCUCUAUUUGCAAGUUACCUCUACUUCUCCAUCGGUAAGACGUCAGAUUGUUCGCACAUGCCUACGAAUGACAGUCAGUUCCAUUGUCUUUGUUUCUAAGGGCUCAUUUAUGCUCCCUUUAUGUACGAAAAUAAAUGCGUCCAUUUCAAACGAUGUAACCAUCACUGUCCACAAACUUCCAUGCAUCCUUUAUGUUGGCAUGGAUGUUGAGCAAUACAUCCACUAGAGUCGGAGUCACAAGUUUCGGACAACAAACAUGGCGACAGUGGAGAAGGUCAUUACAAGGUACCUGUUAAGAAAGAGGCAAAAGCGGAGGCAGUUUUCCAAUACUUUCAGAUGUCCGCCGGGGCAUUCGAUAACUUGCUUUGCCAGGUGAACCAUCACAUCAAGCAUGGGAAUUCACACCAUGCGCCUGUGAGUGAGGCUGAGCGACUAGCUGUCACCAUCCGCUUUCUCACUUCAGGGAUCAGCCAGCAAGCUUUGGCAGCAAGUUACAAGCUGGGUUCUGCAACUGUGAGCUGCAUUGUCAGGGAGGUGUGCCAUGCUGUAUGUGAUUGGGCUCAGGGAUGAGUUUGUGGCCUUUUCAGAGGAAGAACAGUGGGAUGUAAUCAGGAGGGAGCUGUGAAAUUAUCCCAACUGCUUCGGGGCUAUAGAUGGUAAACAUAUCAGAGUGAGAGCACCAGCCAACAGUGGCGGUAGUUUAUAUAACUACUUAAGUUUCUUUAGUUUUAUCUUGAUGGCAGUCUGUGAUGCAAGGUACAAAUUCAGAUACGUCAAUAUUGGCGCUUAUGGCAGAGAGAGUGAUGCUGGAGUCUUCUCGAGAAGCCGCUUUGGAUCCCAGCUCAUCCAGGGCAAGCUUCAUCUUCCACCCACAGCUCCCCUGCCUGGACUGAGAUAAUCACUCCACCUGUCGUUGUGGGUGAUGAAGCAUUUCCACAGAAGGUGAACCUGAUGCCACCAUAUUCAGGUGGAGGAGGAGGAGGAGGAGGAGGAGGGCUUGCCACACCAGAGGAUGAUAAUGUACCUGAGCUUGAUGCAGGUGAAGAAGAUAAUUGACAAACUUCAAGUACUGGCCUCCCCAUCAUGUUCUGGUGGCUAGAACAACAGAGAAGCCACAUGCAAGGCAUUGGCAGUGUGAAUCAAUAGGUGCCAAGUUGUUUUUUGUGCAAUUCAUAUUUAUUUACAAAGUAGUCAAUAAAAACAUGAAUCAUUUAUUAACAA
Long non-coding RNA from Thunnus maccoyii (southern bluefin tuna), 3682 nucleotides. RefSeq lists it as uncharacterized. The record is from RefSeq and is a predicted model, not a curated record. NCBI's taxonomy places the organism in Eukaryota, Metazoa, Chordata, Actinopteri, Scombriformes, Scombridae. The transcript is spliced from 2 exons.